RNAcentral lists this ribosomal RNA (560 nucleotides) under uncultured archaeon. RNAcentral describes it as "bacterial SSU rRNA". It matches the Rfam family "Archaeal small subunit ribosomal RNA", at positions 322 to 882 of the family's 1478-position model. The record is from RNAcentral.
AUUACGGGGUGCAGCAGGCGCGAAACCUGGCCAAUGCGCGAAAGCGUGAGCCGGCCAAUCCGAGUGAAGACCCAUCGGUCUUCUUUUAUCAUGUGUACAAAGCUUGGUGAAUAACGAGAGGGCAAGACUGGUGCCAGCCGCCGCGGUAAAACCAGCUCUUGGAGUGGUGAUCAUGAUUAUUUGGCUUAAAGUGAGCGUAGCCGGACAGCGUAAGUCUCCUGUGAAAUGCUAGGUCUUAAGCUUAGCACGUGCACGAGAUACUGCGCGUCUUGGGACCGGGAUAGGUAUACUGUACGCAAUGGGUAGGGGUGAAAUCCGAUAAUCCAUUGCGGACAACCGGUGGCGAAGGCGGUAUACUGGAACGGGUCCGACGGUGAGGCUCGAAAGCUAGGGUCGCGAGCCGGAUUAGAUACCCGGGUAGUCCUAUGCUGUAAACGAUGCUCACUAAGUGUUAGGUAACGCAAGACGUUACCUGGUGCCGAAGCGAAAGCGUUAAGUGAGCCGCCUGGGAAGUACGUUCGCAAGAAUGAAACUUAAAGGAAUUGGCGGGGGAGCACAAU